This 438-nucleotide ribosomal RNA is filed under the name uncultured bacterium. RNAcentral's name for it is "partial 16S ribosomal RNA". It matches the Rfam family "Bacterial small subunit ribosomal RNA", at positions 339 to 795 of the family's 1533-position model. The record is from RNAcentral.
CUACGGGAUGCUCCAGUGAGGAAUAUUGCACAAUGGGGGGAACCCUGAUGCAGCAACGCCGCGUGGAGGAUGACGCAUUUCGGUGUGUAAACUCCUUUUAUAUGUCAAGAAAAUGACGGUAGCAUAUGAAUAAGCACCGGCUAACUCCGUGCCAGCAGCCGCGGUAAUACGGAGGGUGCAAGCGUUACUCGGAAUCACUGGGCGUAAAGGACGCGUAGGCGGGUUGGAAAGUCAGGUGUGAAAUCCUACAGCUUAACUGUAGAACUGCACUUGAAACUUCUAAUCUAGAGUAUGGGAGGGGGAGAUGGAAUUAGUGGUGUAGGGGUAGAAUCCGUAGAUAUCACUAGGAAUACCUAAAGCGAAGGCGAUCUCCUGGAACAUUACUGACGCUAAGGCGUGAAAGCGUGGGGAGCAAACAGGAUUAGAUACCCCGUAGUC